RNAcentral lists this non-coding RNA (2021 nucleotides) under Pan troglodytes (chimpanzee). The record is from RNAcentral. Lineage: Eukaryota; Metazoa; Chordata; Mammalia; Primates; Hominidae.
GAGAGUAAGAGGGUCCUGGAGUUUGGGGUCGCCUGGGCGCCCGCUUCCCCCAGGAUUGGAGCCUGGGCCACCGUCAGCCACCAGAUCCCUGGCACCAGCCCAGCCCAAUGUUUCUCCGACCGCCUGGCUUCACGGAGCAGCAGCAGCUGCUGACUCAUGGCCCCACAGAAGUGACCACUGGCAGGGGGACACUCAGCAAAUUUCCAUGUGUGCGUGUGCAUGUGUGUGCACGUGUGUGCAUGCAUCUGCUUGCUCGCGCGCUAGGGCAAUCAGGAACUGGCCAGUCGGGACCAGGCACACGACGCCUGGUUCCCCCCAGGGCCCCCCUGGCCCAGUCACAUGCCUGUGAGUCUUGGGCUUCCUGUCACAGCCAGGACUCGGGCCAAGCAGGACAGAGGGCAAGGCUCCCCCACAGUGGGCCAGAGCCCCGAGGCUGGACAGCAGGCCCUGGCCUCGAACUGACCCCAUAGAGCUGGGACCAGGCUGACCAAGCCCCAGCUUGCUAGGUGGCUUCCAGAGUGCUCCACCUUGGAUCCUGCUUCCCCCUGAAGGAGUAGUGAGCACAGGAGGGGCUGCUGCGAGAGGAAGAAGAUGGGGAGGGGCUGGGGAGGCCACGAGUCACCACAGGCCUCCCAGCAGGACAGCAGUGAAAGGCUCCAGGUCAGCCGGCCACACUCAGGCAGGCCCAAGGACCGCCCCCUCAGGCGAGCUAGCACCAAGGCCCGAGGCCACUCCCAGUCACCCUCCCAGGCCUGAGCAGGACCAAGACCCUGCAACGACAGGGACCAGUGGCAGGAGGUUCCAGGAUGGGGAAGAAAGGAGUGUGGCUGAGCCUGGACGCCACCCUGGCCAGUUCUUGAGCACCUCGGGAAUGGGCCCCGCGGUCACGGAUGGCACCGCCUGGGAGUACUUUGAGACGGGGCCUUUGGCAAUCAGGUCCUCCACAGAGCCCCCAACCUCCGACAUGGUCCGGCGGAUGGACGUGAACUUGUGCAGCGGGAUCCUGUCAACCACGGGUCGGGGCAUAUCAGGGAGGCCCUCCCGCCUGCCGGCCAAGGCCGCCAACACUGCACAUCCACCUGGAGGCCCCUGGGGAAUCUCAGAGUCGCCACAGCCAAAACCAAACUCCUGCCUGUCACCUGGAAACUGCUGGCCCAGCUCCCCCAAGUCAGUGAAUGGCAACCCACUGCCCCCCACCAGGUUGCACAGGCCACAGUCCUAAGAAGUGGUCACCCGCCACCCACCUCAGCCCCACACACCCAACCUGGGGGCCAGUGUGCCCACCCCUCCUCUCCUCAGCCAUUCUGGAGGCUCCAAAGCCCCCAGGGGUCUCCCGUCCUCCCUCUGCACCUGCGCUGGUCUCUUCCAGGAUGGUGGCCAGCAUGGCUGCUCAGGGUGCUGGCGGGUACCUGUCACUCCUGCCCAAAGUGCUCUGAGGCAGCCCACUGUACCCAGCCCCCAUCACACCUGCUCUCCACCCACAGACACCUGCACGAAGGUGGCCCCACCUCCAGGCUGGCACUGGCAGCUCUGCCUGGCCUCCUGGGUGGCCUCCUCUGGCCAUCAGAUGGGCCCUCCACACCACCUCCAGAAGCCCUCCUUGACUACCUGUCCUCCUGUGGCUGCCCAGUGCCCUCAUCCCACAUCUGUUUCUGGGCAUCCGCACCUCUCCUCACUCCAUGCGGCUCCAUGAGGUCCAGGACUGCACCUGGGGCCUUAGAGGCUUCUGUGCUGCCCCCCCCACCGCCCUGCCUCCCCCGACAGCUGCACUCAGGGUACCCCUCCAGAGUCCUGUCACCCAGCACACCGCCAGCCAGGGUGCAGGAGGGAGCUCCAGACUGAGAUCAGGGGUCCUGAGUUCUAAACCCAGGAAGCGAGUAACAGAGAGAGGGGUCCCUGCCCCUCCCCCAGGGCCACUGGCCUUCCCCUUGGUGUGAACCCACUCCUUGUUCCAAGGAAGCUCCCCUGGGCUUUUAAUCACUUAAAUAAAACCUCUUCCCUGCCCCAGGGACUUGAGAGUA